CCUACGGGAGACUGCAGUGAGGAAUAUUGGUCAAUGGACGAGAGUCUGAACCAGCCAAGUAGCGUGAAGGAUGACUGCCCUAUGGGUUGUAAACUUCUUGUAUAUGGGAAUAAAAUGUUCCACGUGUGGGAUUUUGUAUGUACCAUAUGAAUAAGGAUCGGCUAACUCCGUGCCAGCAGCCGCGGUAAUACGGAGGAUCCGAGCGUUAUCCGGAUUUAUUGGGUUUAAAGGGAGCGUAGGUGGAUUGUUAAGUCAGUUGUGAAAGUUUGCGGCUCAACCGUAAAAUUGCAGUUGAAACUGGCAGUCUUGAGUACAGUAGAGGUGGGCGGAAUUCGUGGUGUAGCGGUGAAAUGCUUAGAUAUCACGAAGAACUCCGAUUGCGAAGGCAGUUCACUGGACUGCAACUGACACUGAGGCUCGAAAGUGUGGGUAUCAAACAGGAUUAGAUACCCCAGUAGUC
RNAcentral lists this ribosomal RNA (460 nucleotides) under uncultured bacterium. Its description in RNAcentral is "partial 16S ribosomal RNA". It matches the Rfam family "Bacterial small subunit ribosomal RNA", at positions 338 to 795 of the family's 1533-position model. The record is from RNAcentral.